CCUACGGGUGGCUGCAGUGGGGAAUUUUGGACAAUGGGCGAAAGCCUGAUCCAGCAAUGCCGCGUGAGUGAAGAAGGCCUUCGGGUUGUAAAGCUCUUUUGUUUGGGAAGAAAUCCCUAAGGAUAAUACCCUUGGGGGAUGACGGUACCAAAAGAAUAAGCACCGGCUAACUACGUGCCAGCAGCCGCGGUAAUACGUAGGGUGCAAGCGUUAAGCGGAAUUACCGCACGUAAAGCGUGCACACAGGGGUGAAAUCCCCGAGAUCAACUUGGGAACUGCACUUGUGACUGCAAGACUAGAGUGUGUCAGAGGGAGGUAGAAUUCCACGUGUAGCAGUGAAAUGCGUAGAUAUGUGGAGGAAUACCAGUGGCGAAGGCGGCCUCCUGGGAUAACACUGACGCUCAUGUACGAAAGCGUGGGGAGCAAACAGGAUUAGAUACCCCAGUAGUC
This 450-nucleotide ribosomal RNA is filed under the name uncultured bacterium. RNAcentral describes it as "partial 16S ribosomal RNA". It matches the Rfam family "Bacterial small subunit ribosomal RNA", at positions 338 to 795 of the family's 1533-position model. The record is from RNAcentral.